RNAcentral lists this ribosomal RNA (451 nucleotides) under uncultured bacterium. RNAcentral describes it as "partial 16S ribosomal RNA". It matches the Rfam family "Bacterial small subunit ribosomal RNA", at positions 354 to 796 of the family's 1533-position model. The record is from RNAcentral.
GUGGGGAAUAUUGGACAAUGGGGGGAACCCUGAUCCAGCCAUGCCGCGUGUGUGAAGAAGGCCUUUUGGUUGUAAAGCACUUUAAGCGAGGAGGAGGCUACCGAGAUUAAUACUCUUGGAUAGUGGACGUUACUCGCAGAAUAAGCACCGGCUAACUCUGUGCCAGCAGCCGCGGUAAUACAGAGGGUGCAAGCGUUAAUCGGAUUUACUGGGCGUAAAGCGCGCGUAGGUGGCCAAUUAAGUCAAAUGUGAAAUCCCCGAGCUUAACUUGGGAAUUGCAUUCGAUACUGGUUGGCUAGAGUAUGGGAGAGGAUGGUAGAAUUCCAGGUGUAGCGGUGAAAUGCGUAGAGAUCUGGAGGAAUAUCGAUGGCGAAGGCAGCCAUCUGGCCUAAUACUGACACUGAGGUGCGAAAGCAUGGGGAGCAAACAGGAUUAGAAACCCUUGUAGUCC